Molecule: ribosomal RNA, 1650 nt
Filed under: Triticum aestivum (bread wheat)
Lineage: Eukaryota; Viridiplantae; Streptophyta; Magnoliopsida; Poales; Poaceae
Description: partial small subunit ribosomal RNA
Source: RNAcentral
AUGGCAAAUCCAUUCUCUCAAACGCCCGCGGACACGUCCGCACUGACCGGGCAUCCCUCAAAUGUUGCGCCGCACAUCCACGUACCCGCACAUCUCCUUCUCCCUCUUCCUCAACUCCUCUUAGAGGGGGAGCCUCACCGCUGCCGCCACCAUAGACGUGGUCGCGCCGCUGCCGCCUUCGAGUUCGCCGGCAGCCGCUCAGAUCGGCGGGAUCCGUGUCCCCAAGCCGUCGGCGCCCCCUGCGACUGGCGCUGCCAACCCUCCUCGCCACCAUGCGUGACGACAAUGAACGACAGCGCCGCCAGUGGACCGUGCCGCGACCGCGCCCAGGCCGCUGCGCUGCUGCGUGAGCUGCAGGUCGGCGCGCCCGUGCACGGCACGGUGUUCCGGCGCUUCGCGUCGUGGUUUGUGCAUGGCCUGGCGGACCGGCUGGCCCGAGCGCACCCGCCGGCGUUGGGUACGGCCAGCAUGGCGUUCUGCGUCCCGCGGUCGUCGUGCCUCCAUGGGGCGCGCGACGAGGCGCUCGUCGUGGCGGGCGAGCUGUGCCCGCCCCUCAAUUUCACCUGCUCCGCCGCCCGUGCACGGCACGGCGUUCCAGCGCUCCGCAUCGUGCUUUGUGCAGGGCCUGGCAGACCGGCUGGCCCUGGCGCACCCGCCGACGUUGGGUACCGCCAGCAUGGCGUUCUGCGUCCCGCGGUCGUCGUGCCUCGACGGGGCGUGUGGCGAGGCGCUCGCCGUGGCGUACGAGCUGUGCUCGCCCCUCAAUUUCACCUGCUCCGCCGCGCCGCCCCUCAAUCUCUCCUUCUCCGCCGCGCCGCCCCUCAAUAUCUCCUGCUCCGCCGCGCCACCCCUGACCUUCUCCUGCUCCACCCACGCCUCACCUUCUCCUGCUCCGCCGCGGCAAGAAAGGAAGCGGAGCGUCUGGAUAAGACGCAAUGGGUCUGGACAGCGGGUGGAAUUCAAAUGAGUACGGGGUUCGAGUCGGAGAAUCCUUCGACGCAGACUGAUAUAUAUACGACUACUAAUAUACGGGACUUGCCAAAUAUCGAGUAUAUUUCCCGAGCAGCGUAUUGGCCUACGGGACAAGAAACUCAGAAGAAGGAAGAACACGCCUACGGGACAAGAAACUCAGAAGAAGGAAGAACACGCCUACGGGUCAAGAAAGUUCAGAAGGAGGAAGAUCACGCGCCGACAACAUGUUGGGGUUCGUGUUCCGGCGUCUGCUGCACCGCGGGAUCUUGGCCGGCCGCCGUGUGGCCACGGUGCCACCGCCAGCUCCUCGUCCUCGUCUCUUCUCCAUCAGCCACCUUCCUCAGGGUCAUCGGCCACCGGUCCAACCGACGCUUCUCAUGCCUGAAGUCAACGCAGCGACGCCAUCGUUGGGGUAGGCUGUACUUCUUCCUCGCUUUAAGCGGAUACUACAUCGUUGAUCAACGCAUGAGACAGCAUAAGGAGAAAGCAAUGGACGGUUCCACCAUAGACACUUUCGUGUGUAUGGUGCGUGAGAGAGGGGUGGAGGAGGAAACUAGCAGCCUAUCUCCUCUCCCUACGUUCGGUGUACUUGAUGGCAACAAGAGGUCAACGAUGCCGCAAGCGACGCGGGAAUUGCCGGAUCCGUUGUCCCUCACCGUCAUAGCGUCGUUUCUUUAG